RNAcentral lists this ribosomal RNA (389 nucleotides) under uncultured bacterium. RNAcentral's name for it is "bacterial SSU rRNA". It matches the Rfam family "Bacterial small subunit ribosomal RNA", at positions 30 to 417 of the family's 1533-position model. The record is from RNAcentral.
AUUGAACGCUGGCGGCAUGCCUUACACAUGCAAGUCGAACGGCAGCACGGGAGCAAUCCUGGUGGCGAGUGGCGAACGGGUGAGUAAUAUAUCGGAACGUGCCCAGUCGUGGGGGAUAACGUAGCGAAAGCUACGCUAAUACCGCAUACGAUCUAUGGAUGAAAGCGGGGGAUCGCAAGACCUCGCGCGAUUGGAGCGGCCGAUAUCAGAUUAGGUAGUUGGUGAGGUAAAGGCUCGCCAAGCCGACGGAUCUGUAGCUGGUCUGAGAGGACGACCAGCCACACUGGGACUGAGACACGGCCCAGACUCCUACGGGAGGCAGCAGUGGGGAAUUUUUGGACAAUGGGCGCAAGCCUGAUCCAGCAAUGCCGCGUGCAGGAUGAAGGCCU